UACGUAGGGGGCAAGCGUUGUCCGGAAUCAUUGGGCGUAAAGAGCGUGUAGGCGGCCCGAUAAGUCCGCUGUGAAAGUCCAGGGCUCAACCCUGGAAUGCCGGUGGAAACUGUCGGGCUAGAGUUCGGAAGAGGUGAGUGGAAUUCCUGGUGUAGCGGUGAAAUGCGCAGAUAUCAGGAGGAACACCAAUGGCGAAGGCAGCUCACUGGGACGAUACUGACGCUGAGACGCGAAAGCGUGGGGAGCAAACAGG
This 253-nucleotide ribosomal RNA is filed under the name uncultured bacterium. RNAcentral's name for it is "partial 16S ribosomal RNA". It matches the Rfam family "Bacterial small subunit ribosomal RNA", at positions 524 to 776 of the family's 1533-position model. The record is from RNAcentral.